GACGAACGCUGGCGGCGUGCUUAACACAUGCAAGUCGAACGGAAAGGCCCUGCUUUUGUGGUGUGCUCGAGUGGCGAACGGGUGAGUAACACGUGAGUAACCUGCCCUUGACUUUGGGAUAACUUCAGGAAACUGGGGCUAAUACCGGAUAGGAGCUCCUGCUGAAUGGUGGGGGUUGGAAAGUUUCGGCGGUUGGGGAUGGACUCGCGGCUUAUCAGCUUGUUGGUGGGGUAGUGGCUUACCAAGGCUUUGACGGGUAGCCGGCCUGAGAGGGUGACCGGCCACAUUGGGACUGAGAUACGGCCCAGACUCCUACGGGAGGCAGCAGAGGGGAAUAUUGCACAAUGGGCGGAAGCCUGAUGCAGCAACGCCGCGUGCGGGAUGACGGCCUUCGGGUUGUAAACCGCUUUCGCCUGUGACGAAGAGUGAGUGACGGUAAUGGGUAAAGAAGCACCGGCUAACUACGUG
This 468-nucleotide ribosomal RNA is filed under the name uncultured bacterium. RNAcentral's name for it is "partial 16S ribosomal RNA". It matches the Rfam family "Bacterial small subunit ribosomal RNA", at positions 28 to 507 of the family's 1533-position model. The record is from RNAcentral.